This 448-nucleotide long non-coding RNA is filed under the name Equus caballus (horse). RNAcentral describes it as "lncRNA (ENSECAG00000053839.1)". Lineage: Eukaryota; Metazoa; Chordata; Mammalia; Perissodactyla; Equidae. The record is from RNAcentral.
GUAUUUUAUUCUUGAUCACAAUGUGCCCGGCUAAAACUAGGGGCAAGUAAGGAGGAAGUAGGAGGAAGUAGAGAAGGAGUAGUGCGGUGGCAACCAGCCAUCCCUGUAUUUGGCAAGAUGUGAAGAUUAUGACUGGCCGUGGAACGACAUCUGGGCUGAAGUUGUUGUAGGCUUUCAAGAGAAUGCCUGCUUUGUCUAGGCUUUUCCUGAGUCAGGGGACAAUCCUAAGGGCUGGAGUAGCCGAGUUCUGCAGACCAAAAUAUGUUCCUAUUAUGAUGGCCACAGGAGUUCAGCAAUACCCAAACUAAUUUACUCCUUGUUGGAGAAGACUAGUCCUCUUAGCACACGCUGGGAUGUUACAAGGUCACCUGCUAUUCAGGCAGGAAGAGUGCAUCUUUGUCAGGAAUACUGCAGAAGCGAUGCUGGGUUCUUCUCAUUGCCUCUUAUC